AGGUGGAAUUGCUGGGGAGGGGGGAACUCCCAGACAGUUCGCGACAUCUGUGCCCAUGUGCGUGCAGAUUCUACCACGAUGGUGUUUCUCUGUGAGACUAGACAGUCAAAAGAAAAAAUGAAAAGUUUCAGAAACAGAUUUGGUCUUAGGGGCUUUGAAGGUGUGGACAUCCAAGGAAAUAGUGGAGGUCUAGCAUUGUACUGGCAUGAU
Molecule: ribosomal RNA, 210 nt
Filed under: Triticum aestivum (bread wheat)
Lineage: Eukaryota; Viridiplantae; Streptophyta; Magnoliopsida; Poales; Poaceae
Description: partial small subunit ribosomal RNA
Source: RNAcentral